RNAcentral lists this ribosomal RNA (245 nucleotides) under uncultured Prevotella sp. RNAcentral's name for it is "partial 16S ribosomal RNA". It matches the Rfam family "Bacterial small subunit ribosomal RNA", at positions 524 to 768 of the family's 1533-position model. The record is from RNAcentral. Lineage: Bacteria; Pseudomonadati; Bacteroidota; Bacteroidia; Bacteroidales; Prevotellaceae.
UACGGAAGGUCCGGGCGUUAUCCGGAUUUAUUGGGUUUAAAGGGAGCGUAGGCGGCCUGUUAAGCGUGUUGUGAAAGUCCGCGGCUCAACCGUGGGAGUGCAGCGCGAACUGGCUGGCUUGAGUAGGCGGAAGGAAGGCGGAAUUCGUGGUGUAGCGGUGAAAUGCUUAGAUAUCACGAAGAACUCCGAUUGCGAAGGCAGCUUUCCGUAGCCUUACUGACGCUGAAGCUCGAAGGUGCGGGUAU